GGUUUCGGGUAAUCACGGCUAGCAAUAGCUAGCUGAGGAAAGUCCAUGCUCGCACAAGCUGCGAUGCUUGUAGUGUUCGUGCUUAGCGAAAAAAUAAGCUAAGGCAUUAAGUUGACGGCGCUGGUCCCCACUAAGGUUUCGGCUAGGUGGGCAAACAGCCUAAGGUGCCACAGAGACGAUCUAGCAAAGAAAUGCGCUAGUUGGAACGGGUAAACCCCUCGAGCGAGCAACCCAAACAUUGGUCGGGGCACUGCCCAAAGGGAAAUGAACUGACGGGCGGACCAUUAGGUAGAUAGAUGAUUACCAAAAUUGCUCCUAGCAAGAGUAAUGGAACAGAACAUGGCUUAUAGAA
RNAcentral lists this RNase P RNA (352 nucleotides) under Aerococcus urinaehominis. Its description in RNAcentral is "Bacterial RNase P class B". It matches the Rfam family "Bacterial RNase P class B". From Rfam's summary of the family: Ribonuclease P (RNase P) is a ubiquitous endoribonuclease, found in archaea, bacteria and eukarya as well as chloroplasts and mitochondria. Its best characterised activity is the generation of mature 5'-ends of tRNAs by cleaving the 5'-leader elements of precursor-tRNAs. Cellular RNase Ps are ribonucleoproteins. The record is from Rfam by way of RNAcentral. Lineage: Bacteria; Bacillati; Bacillota; Bacilli; Lactobacillales; Aerococcaceae.